CGUAUCCAACCUUCCGUUUACUCAGGGAUAGCCUUUCGAAAGAAAGAUUAAUACCUGAUAGUAUGGUGAGAUUGCAUGAUAGCACCAUUAAAGAUUUAUUGGUAAACGAUGGGGAUGCGUUCCAUUAGGUAGUAGGCGGGGUAACGGCCCACCUAGCCGACGAUGGAUAGGGGUUCUGAGAGGAAGGUCCCCCACAUUGGAACUGAGACACGGUCCAAACUCCUACGGGAGGCAGCAGUGAGGAAUAUUGGUCAAUGGGCGAGAGCCUGAACCAGCCAAGUAGCGUGAAGGAUGAAGGUCCUACGGAUUGUAAACUUCUUUUAUACGGGAAUAAAGUAUCCUACGUGUAGGAUUUUGUAUGUACCGUAUGAAUAAGCAUCGGCUAACUCCGUGCCAGCAGCCGCGGUAAUACGGAGGAUGCGAGCGUUAUCCGGAUUUAUUGGGUUUAAAGGGAGCGCAGACGGGAGAUUAAGUCAGUUGUGAAAGUUUGCGGCUCAACCGUAAAAUUGCAGUUGAUACUGGUUUCCUUGAGUGCAGUUGAGGCAGGCGGAAUUCGUGGUGUAGCGGUGAAAUGCUUAGAUAUCACGAAGAACCCCGAUUGCGAAGGCAGCUUGCUAAACUGUA
This 624-nucleotide ribosomal RNA is filed under the name uncultured bacterium. Its description in RNAcentral is "bacterial SSU rRNA". It matches the Rfam family "Bacterial small subunit ribosomal RNA", at positions 116 to 738 of the family's 1533-position model. The record is from RNAcentral.